GGUCUAUUAGUCUAGUUGGUUAGGACGUCGGAUUCUGAUUCACUCUUCCGUAGGCCCAGGUUCGAAUCGUUCGAAUCCUGGAUGGACC
This 88-nucleotide transfer RNA is filed under the name Colletotrichum fructicola Nara gc5. RNAcentral's name for it is "tRNA-Gln for anticodon CUG". It matches the Rfam family "tRNA". From Rfam's summary of the family: Transfer RNA (tRNA) molecules are approximately 80 nucleotides in length. The record is from RNAcentral. Lineage: Eukaryota; Fungi; Ascomycota; Sordariomycetes; Glomerellales; Glomerellaceae.